AGCGAACGCUGGCGGCGUGCCUAACACAUGCAAGUCGAACGUGAAAAGGGGCAACCCUGAGUAAAGUGGCGUACGGGUGAGUAACGCGUAGGUAAUCUACCUUAGAGUCUGGAAUAACCUGCCGAAAGGCGGGCUAAUACUGGAUAGAGCGACGGAAUCCGUAAUUGGGUUUUUCGGGAAAGGGAGCCUGCAAGGGCCCUUGCUCUGAGAUGAGCCUGCGUCUCAUUAGCUUAGGNGGUGGGGUAAUGGCCUACCAAGGCAUUGAUGGGUAGCUGGUCUGAGAGGAUGAUCAGCCACACUGGAACUGAAACACGGUCCAGACUCCUACGGGAGGCAGCAGUGGGGAAUCUUGCGCAAUGGACGAAAGUCUGACGCAGCCACGCCGC
This 386-nucleotide ribosomal RNA is filed under the name uncultured bacterium. RNAcentral's name for it is "bacterial SSU rRNA". It matches the Rfam family "Bacterial small subunit ribosomal RNA", at positions 29 to 400 of the family's 1533-position model. The record is from RNAcentral.